GCCGUUCUGCCUCUGUACCCCCUUUGCAACUCCUUGAAAACCUCCCUCCCUGAGCCUUUGAGGCUGACCCUUUUGGGGUCAGUGCCCGUCGAUGAAAUCCUGGGUGACGUUUCGGUGCUUCGGUUUCCCGCUCAGAUCCACAGAGGCGCUGUUUAGAAAUGUCCAGUAACUUAGGAGUGCACUGCAAGGGCUUGCGACACAGCCAACGUAUGUUUUUGAAAUACUAACCACAGCCAAUUUGUGGAGACCAGAAAGAACGGAACCAAAUUAAAACCAGUGUUGCAAAGUUGAAAGGCAAAAUGUGUGUGAAGCGGUUGGUGAACCUGAGCAUCAGUGUGAACCGUUAUUAGUGAUACCCUCUGGUGUCUGCUGUUCUGGGGCAGCAUUUACCCCUGCUGGAGAGGAAGAAGGAAAGAUGACUAAAGCUGAAGACCUCUGCCUUUUUUUGAUGCUCCUCAGCAGCAGCUUUCACCAUGUUUUGUAGUUACACCUUGUAAACAGACAAGACUCCUUGUGCCCCAGAAAACUUUCUUGAGCCUUGAAGGACCAGCUUGCCAUGAAUCCUAAGCUUCUAUUUUCUCUUGCUGCCCAUCCAUAUGUAGUAAAGUCAUU
Molecule: long non-coding RNA, 612 nt
Organism: Chinchilla lanigera (long-tailed chinchilla)
Lineage: Eukaryota; Metazoa; Chordata; Mammalia; Rodentia; Chinchillidae
Exons: 4
Source: RefSeq, a predicted model, not a curated record